AAAUGAAUAGACGGGGACCCGCACAAGCAGUGGAGUAUGUGGUUUAAUUCGAAGCAACGCGAAGAACCUUACCAGAACUUGACAUGCCCUGAAUUACCCUUAAUAGGGGAAGUCCUUCGGGACAGGGACACAGGUGGUGCAUGGUUGUCGUCAGCUCGUGUCGUGAGAUGUUGGGUUAAGUCCCGCAACGAGCGCAACCCUUAUCGUCAGUUGCCAGCAGGUAAAGCUGGGCACUCUGGCGGGACUGCCGACGGAUAAGUCGGAGGAAGGUGGGGAUGACGUCAAAUCAUCAUGCCCCUUAUGUUCUGGGCUACACACGUACUACAAUGGCCGCUCACAAUGGGAAGCGAUAUAGCGAUAUGGAGCAAAUCCCCAAAAGCGGUCCCAGUUCAGAUUGCAGGCUGCAACUCGCCUGUAUGAAGGCGGAAUUGCUAGUAAUCGCGGAUCAGCAUGCCGCGGUGAAUACGUUCCCGGGUCUUGUACACACCGCCCGU
This 494-nucleotide ribosomal RNA is filed under the name uncultured bacterium. Its description in RNAcentral is "bacterial SSU rRNA". It matches the Rfam family "Bacterial small subunit ribosomal RNA", at positions 903 to 1397 of the family's 1533-position model. The record is from RNAcentral.